This is a non-coding RNA of Phalacrocorax carbo (great cormorant), 2939 nucleotides long. The record is from RefSeq and is a predicted model, not a curated record. NCBI's taxonomy places the organism in Eukaryota, Metazoa, Chordata, Aves, Suliformes, Phalacrocoracidae.
UCCCUCUCGGGCUUGGCCGCGAGGGUGGGGUCACGUGGCGGGGGGAUGUCCCGCGAGCAGCGGCGACGCGUCACGUGAGGCGAGCAAGAUGGCGGCUCCCGCGGACGGUGCUGACCUGGAGGCCUCGUUGCUGAGCUUCGAGAAGCUGGACCGCGCCUCCCCGGACCUGUGGCCCGAGCAGCUGCCCGGGGUUGCCGAGUUCGCCGCCUCCUUCAAAAGCCCUAUUACAAGUUCUCCUCCCAAGUGGAUGGCUGAAUUAGAAAAUGAUGAUAUUGAUAUGUUAAAGGAGUUGGGGAGCCUUACUACAGCUAACCUGAUGGAAAAAGUUCGUGGCCUGCAGAACCUGGCUUAUCAGCUGGGACUGGAUGAAUAGAGGUGAAAAGAACGCUGACAUUGUUCAUUAAGGUGUUUAUAUGGCCACGUCACCGUGAUGUCCAAGCUGCUAUGAUUUCCAUGUGAAACCUUGGCCUUUCUCCUGAUUCUCUUUAUACCCUCCUCCCACACCUGCUUGUUCAUUUUGAUGCACAGCACUAUGCUAGAGAAAUGACUCGAGGAAAAUUCCUGAACAUCCUAGAGAAACCCAAGAAGUAGCUGCCAUAUCUGGAGUUUGGACAAAAAUACCCCAACUAGAUCAUUUUACGUACUGUGGAUCCAGAUGAACCCCAAGACUUCUUAGAAGUACAAAGCUCUUGCUCCAGACCUUCAGAAGCAAACAUUUCUUUUUGCCUCCACAGCUCAUCUCAUUACAGGGGAGAAGUGUAUUGCAUACACAGGUCACAAGGACUGCAAUUGGUUACGCUGGAAUUCAUCUGACUGUAAGACGUCCAACAGGAGGACUCGGCCCUGACGUGCUGUGGCAAAGUUAUCUGUUUUAAUCAGCUCUUCAAAGUGAACAGCCAUAGUGUCCUUAUUCAGUUGCUCUCAGGGGCAGCACCUGUUUGGAGUACACAUCAGAUCUGACACUGGCCAGUGCGCAUCAUGAGGCAUUGACCCUUUUGUGUCUUCUGUCUUAGACACGUUGAUUUCAUAUGUGAAACUUCUGUGCUGACAGAUAUGAGCAGAGUUUGGGGUGUGAGUUGGUCGAUAACACUGAUUCAGCAGAAGCAUAUGCUUUUAGUGUUGAAGUUGAGUGUAGUCUGUGUGUUAGAUUCCAGUUAUUCACUCCCUUUAGAGAAGCAUGUCUGGUACUCCAAGGAGGACCUCUAGGCCUCCAGUGUAGCAGGAGCUUCACCUUGCCGCUAAACGGUUCUCUAGUAAAAUCAAGACUGACAGACCAUAGGCAGUAAGAGGUGUUACUGUGUCAUGAAGGAAAAUAUCCCUACAGAAACCUUGGCCAGUACACAAAGGAACAGUGUUGUCAGUCCACUGCAAUUCUCUGCUUACAGAACUAGAAACUGAAGAAAGUCACAAAGCUAAAAGGUGGUAAUGUUUUCAGUUAGCACCCCAAGAAGGGGCAACAGGAUUGUUAGCCACACUGCAAGGAUGGUCUGCUUAUACAGAAUCUUAACGCUUCUGAAAAGAGCAUUUUGUGGUAUUUUUAAUUACUUACAAAACAGCAACCUCAACAUUUUCUUCCCCUAUAAACCCACAAUUUUUAGAGUCAAAUUUUCUGUGACCUGGUCUCUUUCAGCAUACAGUUUUGGGUUCUAUUCAUCGUACAGUUUAAUGUCUUCUGUUUAUGCACUUCUGCAUGUCACCCUGGAGAAGAGGUAAGGAGCACAUUCAGGCUUUUAUUUAAGAGAAGAAUUUUUUUUCAUUUCAUCCUCUUUGCUUUUCCUAGAAAACAUUUUAAGCGUUAGUAAAUAUGUUCUUUUUAGGUUACAAUGUAAUAUUGAAACAUUGGAUGUAGAGCAGGGUUUUAUUUCCAUUUAGAAAGGUUAGUUUUAGCAUGCAGACCUUCUCAAAACUUGUCAUUUUCCAGGCCGCAGUCACACGUGAGAGGAGAAAUGACUUGGAAAUAGACUGUCCUUAGAGCAUUGCAUUUUUCUGUCUUUGCAGAGAGAGGAGACUUUUCAGGUGCAUGUGCAAUAAAGAGGAAGAGGUUUUUUAAUCAAGUAAACUUCUCUGAAUUUUUACUAAAAUGUUGGUGGCCUUUUGGUUUGCAGUCUGUGGUCUUGGUUAUUACUGGUCAGAACUAGGCUCGUUUUGGACAGCUCCUGUUAACUAAGUUUAAGCAGUUAAAACCCACAUCCUGGGAAGACCUCUGCACAAAUACUGAAUACUUAGGAAUGUCAGGAGUCUGAUUUUAAACUUAACUGAUUUAUUUCUGUACUUCAUAUUUUAUGCAGGGCUGAGCUUAACAGGAAAUCCAUCCCUUCAGAAUGCAAGAGUUAAGACAGAUAAAUGUGAAGAGAAGCUAAGAGUGGUAGUUCAGAGACAGAGAAAAAACCUGCUGGUGUGAACCGAUGUUGAUGUAGCUAUAAGUAUUAAAUUAUACAUUUUGAAUGCAAGUUUAAGUUUGUAUACUAGGUACAUAAUAUAUAUACACACAUAUAUGACAUAAUGGGAUACUUCACCUGUAACACCUAUACAAGUUUAUGCAUUUUCUAGAGGUUUGUUGAUCCAAAACAUUAAGAAAUUGAGAUCUGAAAGGAGGAGGACUAUAGGAGAAGAAAUGAAAGCGGGGCACAGAAGUGUAUGUACAUUUUCUGGUAUGUUGAGUAAGGCAUUUCAGACUAGAUGGUUUUUAAUAACAUACAUGUGUUUUUUUAAAAAACCCAAAGAAAACCCUUUUACCAUAUGCAGUAAUUAUCUCCUGUUGGGCAGCCAGUAAUGUAUGCUUUAGAAUUGUGAUAUUUAUUGGCUUUGUACUUGUCAUCUGUAGAGGUUAUGUGGUUUUUUUAUUGGUAAUAUUUAUAUGUAUUUUUAUGUGUUAGCCAGAGAAUUGUAAUCUGUCUGUUACUGCUUUGUGGUUUGAUAAUAAACAAAUGCAAAGCUCA